UUUUUAGAUUUUCACGUGGUUCAUAAGAAACAUAUAUGGUGCAUUAAUAAGUCCUCCACAAGUAAAUGAGUUUUGAACCCAAUCCCAAAUGGAAAAAACUAAACUUAAUUUAAACCAUAAUUAAUUAAUUAAUUUUAAAGAGGCAACAAAAAAAGAAUAAUAAAAAAAUGUAACCAUGGGGAAACGCCCCUCCCACUCUCAGAC
Molecule: long non-coding RNA, 204 nt
Filed under: Lathyrus oleraceus (garden pea)
Lineage: Eukaryota; Viridiplantae; Streptophyta; Magnoliopsida; Fabales; Fabaceae
Description: Pisum sativum (pea) long non-coding RNA (PSAT_LNC028614)
Source: RNAcentral